This 253-nucleotide ribosomal RNA is filed under the name uncultured bacterium. RNAcentral describes it as "partial 16S ribosomal RNA". It matches the Rfam family "Bacterial small subunit ribosomal RNA", at positions 524 to 776 of the family's 1533-position model. The record is from RNAcentral.
UACGUAGGUGACAAGCGUUGUCCGGAUUUACUGGGCGUAAAGAGCGCGCAGGCGGUCGACCAAGUCGGGUGUGAAAGCCCCCGGCUCAACUGGGGAGGGUCAUUCGAUACUGAUCGACUCGAAGGCAGGAGAGGGUAGUGGAAUUCCCGGUGUAGUGGUGAAAUGCGUAGAUAUCGGGAGGAACACCAGUGGCGAAGGCGACUACCUGGCCUGUUCUUGACGCUGAGGCGCGAAAGCUAGGGGAGCAAACGGG